RNAcentral lists this ribosomal RNA (417 nucleotides) under Triticum aestivum (bread wheat). RNAcentral's name for it is "partial small subunit ribosomal RNA". The record is from RNAcentral. Lineage: Eukaryota; Viridiplantae; Streptophyta; Magnoliopsida; Poales; Poaceae.
AUGCUCAAGCUUCGCGUUCUAGGACUUGCCACGGUCGAGCGUGCUAGGAAACGUCAAGCCUCGCGUGUCGCUUAGCUGCGGGUCGGCGAUGCACGGACGGCUUUCUUCCAAGCGAAGAUCAAUUCUAGGAGGCAAAAAAACUUCAUCCACGCCAUUCACACGCCGGUAUCCGUGGUUACCUCACACGACAACAAGGCAAAGGCAAUCCACGACCACUUCAGCACCACCCUGGGGGUUGCGCCCGUCAAAAACACCACCAUCGAUUGGGGUUCGAUCAACCUGCCCACCCUGCUGGUGGCGGGCCUAGAUAACCCCUUCUCAGAGAUGAGGUGUGGCAGGCAAUCUGCAGCUCGCCCCAGGAGAAAGCGCCUGGGCCAGAUGGAUUCAACGGAACCUUCUUCCGAACAUGUUGGCUGA